RNAcentral lists this ribosomal RNA (464 nucleotides) under uncultured bacterium. Its description in RNAcentral is "partial 16S ribosomal RNA". It matches the Rfam family "Bacterial small subunit ribosomal RNA", at positions 28 to 507 of the family's 1533-position model. The record is from RNAcentral.
GACGAACGCUGGCGGCGUGCUUAACACAUGCAAGUCGAACGGAAAGGCCCUGCUUGCAGGGUACUCGAGUGGCGAACGGGUGAGUAACACGUGGGUGAUCUGCCCUGCACUUCGGGAUAAGCCUGGGAAACUGGGUCUAAUACCGGAUAGGAGCCAUUUUUAGUGUGAUGGUUGGAAAGUUUUUUCGGUGUAGGAUGAGCUCGCGGCCUAUCAGCUUGUUGGUGGGGUAAUGGCCUACCAAGGCGGCGACGGGUAGCCGGCCUGAGAGGGUGGACGGCCAAAUGGGACUGAGAUACGGCCCAGACUCCUACGGGAGGCAGCAGUGGGGAAUAUUGCACAAUGGGCGCAAGCCUGAUGCAGCGACGCCGCGUGGGGGAUGACGGCCUUCGGGUUGUAAACUCCUUUCGCUAGGGACGAAGCUUUUUGUGACGGUACCUAGAUAAGAAGCACCGGCUAACUACGUG